This 336-nucleotide unclassified non-coding RNA is filed under the name soil metagenome. RNAcentral's name for it is "partial contains 5.8S ribosomal RNA, internal transcribed spacer 2, and large subunit ribosomal RNA". The stretch from base 1 to 120 matches the Rfam family "5.8S ribosomal RNA", at positions 35 to 154 of the family's 154-position model. The record is from RNAcentral.
GAUGAAGAACGCAGCGAAAUGCGAUAAGUAGUGUGAAUUGCAGAAUUCAGUGAAUCAUCGAAUCUUUGAACGCACAUUGCGCCCCUUGGUAUUCCAUGGGGCAUGCCUGUUCGAGCGUCAUUUGUACCUUCAAGCUUUGCUUGGUGUUGGGUGUUUGUCUCGCCUUUGCGUGUAGACUCGCCUUAAAAUAAUUGGCAGCCGGCGUAUUGAUUUCGGAGCGCAGUACAUCUCGCGCUUUGCACUCAUAACGACAGCGUCCAAAAGUACAUUUUACACUCUUGACCUCGGAUCAGGUAGGGAUACCCGCUGAACUCAAGCAUAUCAAUAAGCGGAGGA